This 221-nucleotide ribosomal RNA is filed under the name Shigella flexneri. RNAcentral's name for it is "partial 16S ribosomal RNA". It matches the Rfam family "Bacterial small subunit ribosomal RNA", at positions 361 to 574 of the family's 1533-position model. Lineage: Bacteria; Pseudomonadati; Pseudomonadota; Gammaproteobacteria; Enterobacterales; Enterobacteriaceae. The record is from RNAcentral.
AUAUUGCACAAUGGGCGCAAGCCUGAUGCAGCCAUGCCGCGUGUAUGAAGAAGGCCUUCGGGUUGUAAAGUACUUUCAGCGGGGAGGAAGGGAGUAAAGUUAAUACCUUUGCUCAUUGACGUUACCCGCAGAAGAAGCACCGGCUAACUCCGUGCCAGCAGCCGCGGUAAUACGGAGGGUGCAAGCGUUAAUCGGAAUUACUGGGCGUAAAGCGCACGCAG